AUACGGAGGGUGCAAGCGUUAAUCGGAAUUACUGGGCGUAAAGCGUACGUAGGCGGUUCGUUAAGUUAGAUGUGAAAGCCCCGGGCUUAACCUGGGAACUGCAUUUAAAACUGGCGAACUAGAGUUGAGUAGAGGGGAGUGGAAUUUCAGGUGUAGCGGUGAAAUGCGUAGAGAUCUGAAGGAACACCAGUGGCGAAGGCGGCUCCCUGGACUCAAACUGACGCUGAGGUACGAAAGCGUGGGUAGCAAACGGAAUUAGAAACCCUUGUAGUCC
RNAcentral lists this ribosomal RNA (274 nucleotides) under uncultured bacterium. RNAcentral describes it as "partial 16S ribosomal RNA". It matches the Rfam family "Bacterial small subunit ribosomal RNA", at positions 523 to 796 of the family's 1533-position model. The record is from RNAcentral.